Molecule: ribosomal RNA, 483 nt
Filed under: uncultured Allobrachymonas sp.
Lineage: Bacteria; Pseudomonadati; Pseudomonadota; Betaproteobacteria; Burkholderiales; Comamonadaceae
Description: bacterial SSU rRNA
Rfam family: Bacterial small subunit ribosomal RNA
Source: RNAcentral
GAAACUCAAAUGAAUUGACGGGACCCGCACAAGCGGUGGAUGAUGUGGUUUAAUUCGAUGCAACGCGAAAAACCUUACCCACCUUUGACAUGGCAGGAAUCCCGAAGAGAUUUGGGAGUGCUCGAAAGAGAACCUGCACACAGGUGCUGCAUGGCUGUCGUCAGCUCGUGUCGUGAGAUGUUGGGUUAAGUCCCCGCAACGAGCGCAACCCCUUGCCAUUAGUUGCUACGAAAGGGCACUCUAAUGGGACUGCCGGUGACAAACCGGAGGAAGGUGGGGAUGACGUCAAGUCCUCAUGGCCCUUAUAGGUGGGGCUACGCACGUCAUACAAUGGCCGGUACAGAGGGUAGCCAACCCGCGAGGGGGAGCCAAUCCCACAAAGCCGGUCGUAGUCCGGAUCGCAGUCUGCAACUCGACUGCGUGAAGUCGGAAUCGCUAGUAAUCGCGGAUCAGCAUGUCGCGGUGAAUACGUUCCCGGGUCUU